AAUUUCCCUAGUAACGGCGAGUGAAGAGGAAAGAGCUCAAAGUUGGAACCUGUUUGGCUUAGCUAAACCGGAUUGUAAACUGUAGAAACAUUUUCCAGAUACACUAGACAAAAAAGUCCUUUGGAACAGGGCAUCAUAGAGGGUGAGAAUCCCGUCUUUGGUCUAAGUAGUUGUCUAUUGUGAUAUGUUUUCAAAGAGUCAGGUUGUUUGGGAAUGCAGCCUAAAUUGGGUGGUAAAUCUCACCUAAAGCUAAAUAUUUGCGAGAGACCGAUAGCGAACAAGUACCGUGAGGGAAAGAUGAAAAGAACUUUGAAAAGAGAGUUAAACAGUAUGUGAAAUUGUUAAAAGGGAACCGUUUGGAGCCAGACUGGCUUGAUUGUAAUCAACCUAGAAUUCGUUUUGGGUGCACUUGCAGUCUAUGCCUGCCAACGACAGUUUGAUUUGGAGGAAAAAAUUAAUAGGAAUGUGGCCUCUCGAGGUGUUAUAGCCUAUUAUCAUACUCUGGAUUGGACUGAGGAACGCAGUGAAUGCCUUUAGGCAAGAUUGCUGGGCGCUUUCGCUAAUAAAUGUUAGAAUUUCUGCUUCGGGUGGUGCUAAUGUUUAAAGGAGGAACUCGUUUAGUAUAUUUUUUAUUCGCUUAGGUUGUUGGCUUAAUGACUCUAAAUGACCCGUCUUGAAACCA
This 682-nucleotide ribosomal RNA is filed under the name Mucor racemosus. RNAcentral's name for it is "LSU rRNA". It matches the Rfam family "Eukaryotic large subunit ribosomal RNA", at positions 73 to 661 of the family's 3401-position model. The record is from RNAcentral. Lineage: Eukaryota; Fungi; Mucoromycota; Mucoromycetes; Mucorales; Mucoraceae.